CACGUAGGGACCGAGCGUUGUCCGGAUUUAUUGGGCGUAAAGAGCUCGUAGGCGGUCGCGUAAGUCGGGUGUGAAAUCUCCAGGCUCAACUUGGAGGGGCCACCCGAUACUGCACGACUCGAGUCCGGUAGGGGAGUGGGGAAUUCCUGGUGUAGCGGUGAAAUGCGCAGAUAUCAGGAGGAACACCGGUGGCGAAGGCGGGUCUCUGGGCCGAUACUGACGCUGAGGAGCGAAAGCGUGGGGAGCGAACAGG
This 253-nucleotide ribosomal RNA is filed under the name uncultured bacterium. RNAcentral's name for it is "partial 16S ribosomal RNA". It matches the Rfam family "Bacterial small subunit ribosomal RNA", at positions 524 to 776 of the family's 1533-position model. The record is from RNAcentral.